GAGGCGAACCGGGGGAACUGAAACAUCUAAGUACCCCGAGGAAAAGAAAUCAACCGAGAUUCCGAAAGUAGCGGCGAGCGAAAUUGGACUAGCCCUUAAGCUUUACACGCGUUAGACGAACGGUCUGGAAAGUCCGACGAUACAGGGUGAUAGUCCCGUAGUUGACGACGUGUGUUCAGUGAAAUCGAGUAGGGCGGGACACGUGAUAUCCUGUCUGAAUAUGGGGGGACCAUCCUCCAAGGCUAAAUACUACUGACUGACCGAUAGUGAACCAGUACCGUGAGGGAAAGGCGAAAAGAACCCCUGUGAGGGGAGUGAAAUAGAACCUGAAACCGUGUACGUACAAGCAGUAGGAGCACCUUCGUGGUGUGACUGCGUACCUUUUGUAUAAUGGGUCAGCGACUUAUAUUCAGUGGCAAGGUUAACCAUCUAGGGGAGCCGUAGGGAAACCGAGUCUUAACUGGGCGUUCAGUCUCUGGAUAUAGACCCGAAACCAGGUGAUCUAGCCAUGGGCAGGUUGAAGGUUGAGUAACAUCAACUGGAGGACCGAACCGACUAAUGUUGAAAAAUUAGCGGAUGACUUGUGGCUAGGGGUGAAAGGCCAAUCAAACCUGGAGAUAGCUGGUUCUCCCCGAAAGCUAUUUAGGUAGCGCCUCGGACGAAUACUACUGGGGGUAGAGCACUGUUAAGGCUAGGGGGUCAUCCCGACUUACCAACCCUUUGCAAACUCCGAAUACCAGUAAGUACUAUCCGGGAGACACACGGCGGGUGCUAACGUCCGUCGUGGAGAGGGAAACAACCCAGACCGCCAGCUAAGGUCCCAAAUUACUACUAAGUGGGAAACGAUGUGGGAAGGCUCAGACAGCCAGGAUGUUGGCUUAGAAGCAGCCAUCAUUUAAAGAAAGCGUAAUAGCUCACUGGUCGAGUCGGCCUGCGCGGAAGAUGUAACGGGGCUAAGUAGUAAACCGAAGCUGCGGCAAURURCUUUUGYAYAUUGGGUAGGGGAGCGUUCUGUAAGCGGUUGAAGGUGUGUGGUAACGCAUGCUGGACGUAUCAGAAGUGCGAAUGCUGACAUGAGUAACGAUAAAGGGGGUGAAAAACCUCCUCGCCGGAAGACCAAGGGUUCCUGUCCAACGUUAAUCGGGGCAGGGUAAGUCGACCCCUAAGGCGAGGCCGAAAGGCGUAGUCGAUGGGAAACGGGUUAAUAUUCCCGUACUUCUUACAAUUGCGAUGGGGGGACGGAGAAGGCUAGGUGGGCCUGGCGACGGUUGUCCAGGUUCAAGUGCGUAGGCUURAGAGUUAGGUAAAUCCGGCUCUUUYUAAGGCUGAGACACGACGUCGAGCACCUACGGGUGUGAAGUCAUUGAUGCCAUGCUUCCAGGAAAAGCCUCUAAGCUUCAGAUUGUAAGGAAUCGUACCCCAAACCGACACAGGUGGUCGGGUAGAGAAUACCAAGGCGCUUGAGAGAACUCGGGUGAAGGAACUAGGCAAAAUGGUACCGUAACUUCGGGAGAAGGUACGCUCUCGACGGUGAAGUCCCUCGCGGAUGGAGCUAUUGAGAGUCGCAGAUACCAGGUGGCUGCAACUGUUUAUUAAAAACACAGCACUGUGCAAAAUCGUAAGAUGACGUAUACGGUGUGACGCCUGCCCGGUGCCGGAAGGUUAAUUGAUGGGGUUAGACUUCGGUCGAAGCUCUUGAUCGAAGCCCCGGUAAACGGCGGCCGUAACUAUAACGGUCCUAAGGUAGCGAAAUUCCUUGUCGGGUAAGUUCCGACCUGCACGAAUGGCGUAAUGAUGGCCACGCUGUCUCCACCCGAGACUCAGUGAAAUUGAAAUCGCUGUGAAGAUGCAGUGUACCCGCGGCUAGACGGAAAGACCCCGUGAACCUUUACUACAGCUUGGCACUGAACAUUGACCCUACAUGUGUAGGAUAGGUGGGAGGCUUUGAAGCACGUACGCCAGUAUGUGUGGAGCCGUCCUUGAAAUACCACCCUUGUAGUGUUGAUGUUCUAACGUCGACCCCUWAUCGGGGUURCGGACAGUGCCUGGUGGGUAGUUUGACUGGGGCGGUCUCCUCCCAAAGAGUAACGGAGGAGCACGAAGGUGGGCUAAUCACGGUUGGACAUCGUGAGGUUAGUGCAAUGGCAUAAGCCCGCUUGACUGCGAGAAUGACAAUUCGAGCAGGUGCGAAAGCAGGUCAUAGUGAUCCGGUGGUUCUGAAUGGAAGGGCCAUCGCUCAACGGAUAAAAGGUACUCCGGGGAUAACAGGCUGAUACCGCCCAAGAGUUCAUAUCGACGGCGGUGUUUGGCACCUCGAUGUCGGCUCAUCACAUCCUGGGGCUGAAGUCGGUCCCAAGGGUAUGGCUGUUCGCCAUUUAAAGUGGUACGCGAGCUGGGUUUAGAACGUCGUGAGACAGUUCGGUCCCUAUCUGCCGUGGGCGUUGGAAGAUUGAUGAGCUAACUGAUACUAAUUGCCCGUGAGGCUUAACCAUACAACACCCAAGGGGUUU
This 2510-nucleotide ribosomal RNA is filed under the name Vibrio parahaemolyticus. RNAcentral's name for it is "partial 23S ribosomal RNA". The record is from RNAcentral. Lineage: Bacteria; Pseudomonadati; Pseudomonadota; Gammaproteobacteria; Vibrionales; Vibrionaceae.